AAGACCAGUGUAAGUGGAGAGAUGAGUUUGACCCAGGAAGCAAUGCUCAAGCAGCAAUGAAGAAAGUCUCUGUGAGGCUUCUUAGGAGACUGAGCCUGGCUGAGGAAAGAAUCUCUGAUAUGUCAAGAUAAAUUUCAAAACAAAACAAAAAAGCAAAACUGGAGCAGAAUGUCCAAGAGUUACGGUAGCAAGCAUGGUUCAAGAAUCCGUGCUGAACCAUGGCUGAAAAGAACCAUGAUGCUCAGCAUGAAGGAAGGAAAGCAGAAAGGAAGAGGAGGAGGGAGGACGGAGGACGGGAUUGAUGGAUGAGACAGAGGGAGGAAGAGAAGGAGAGAACGAAGAAAGAAGAGAAAGAAACUAGAACAAAAUAUUUAAGUAUUGAGGGGGAAACAAUCACUGACCUGAAUCCACCUGUCACCUCCUUCCACAAGUGUGAAGGAGAACUGAGCAUCUUCGAAUAAAGAGCCGUGGGUCUGCUGACGUGGUUCCCCAGCGCCAGUGCAGCACUGCCAGGGAACAGUGAGGAUGCUGGGAUGCUCCAACGCCUCCCUCAGCCCUGAAGCAGGCUGAUCCAGACUUUGACCUUGCUGCCACUGAGAAGGAGAUUACCUAGGGUUGGAGCCUUCUACCUAGAUGGCUCUUUUGUUCUGUUACCUGCCACUGCUUUCCCCAAGACACUGCUACCUGCUGAGAAGCCCCUGAGACAUUCCUGAGGAACAUCCUAUUCGGCACCCUACAGGCUGGCUCCAGACACCAAUAAUGGACUGGCUGGGGAUGGGCCUUUUCCUUUUAUAAGUAGACUCUCUUAGUAAACUGGUGGGCCUUGAAC
This 829-nucleotide long non-coding RNA is filed under the name Mus caroli (Ryukyu mouse). RNAcentral's name for it is "lncRNA (MGP_CAROLIEiJ_G0002468.1)". Lineage: Eukaryota; Metazoa; Chordata; Mammalia; Rodentia; Muridae. The record is from RNAcentral.